This 496-nucleotide ribosomal RNA is filed under the name uncultured bacterium. Its description in RNAcentral is "partial 16S ribosomal RNA". It matches the Rfam family "Bacterial small subunit ribosomal RNA", at positions 28 to 506 of the family's 1533-position model. The record is from RNAcentral.
GAUGAACGCUGGCGGCGUGCCUAAUACAUGCAAGUCGAGCGAACAGACGAGGAGCUUGCUCCUCUGACGUUAGCGGCGGACGGGUGAGUAACACGUGGAUAACCUACCUAUAAGACUGGGAUAACUUCGGGAAACCGGAGCUAAUACCGGAUAAUAUAUUGAACCGCAUGGUUCAAUAGUGAAAGACGGUUCUGCUGUCACUUAUAGAUGGAUCCGCGCCGCAUUAGCUAGUUGGUAAGGUAACGGCUUACCAAGGCAACGAUGCGUAGCCGACCUGAGAGGGUGAUCGGCCACACUGGAACUGAGACACGGUCCAGACUCCUACGGGAGGCAGCAGUAGGGAAUCUUCCGCAAUGGGCGAAAGCCUGACGGAGCAACGCCGCGUGAGUGAUGAAGGUCUUCGGAUCGUAAAACUCUGUUAUUAGGGAAGAACAAAUGUGUAAGUAACUAUGCACGUCUUGACGGUACCUAAUCAGAAAGCCACGGCUAACUACGU